This 321-nucleotide ribosomal RNA is filed under the name uncultured Leptophryidae. Its description in RNAcentral is "SSU rRNA". The stretch from base 88 to 321 matches the Rfam family "Eukaryotic small subunit ribosomal RNA", at positions 721 to 955 of the family's 1831-position model. The record is from RNAcentral. Lineage: Eukaryota; Endomyxa; Vampyrellida; Leptophryidae.
AACUUUCAGCUCUCUGGCUCUGUCCCGCUCUCUUGUGGAGCGUUGUGACGGUUCUAAGAGCUUUCCUGGUGAAAAGUGCUUCUGCCCUUUAUUGGGUUGGUUGCACGAUUUACCUCUUUUACUGUGAGAAAAACAAGGUGCUCAAAGCAGGCUUUAUAGCUUGAAUGCGUUAGCAUGGAAUAAUAAGAUAGGACUUUGAAUCUAUUUUGUUGGCUCUGAGAAUCAAAGUAAUGAUUGAUAGGGAUAGUUGGGGGUGCUCGUAUUUAACGGUCAGCGGUGAAAUGCGUGGACCCGUUAAAGACGAACUUAUGCGAAAGCAUU